This 254-nucleotide ribosomal RNA is filed under the name uncultured bacterium. RNAcentral's name for it is "partial 16S ribosomal RNA". It matches the Rfam family "Bacterial small subunit ribosomal RNA", at positions 524 to 776 of the family's 1533-position model. The record is from RNAcentral.
UACGGGGGGGGCAAGCGUUGUUCGGAUUUACUGGGCGUAAAGGGAGCGUAGGCUGUCGGUUAAGUCCGGUGUGAAAUCUUCACCGCUCAACGGGAAGUUGUCACCGGAUACUGGCCGGCUAGAGUGAGGUAGAGGCAAGCGGAAUUCCUGGUGUAGCGGUGGAAUGUGUAGAUAUCAGGAAGAACAUCUGUGGCGAAGGCGGCUUGCUGGGCCUUUACUGACGCUGAGGCUCGAAAGCGUGGGGAGCAAACGGG